Long non-coding RNA from Folsomia candida, 703 nucleotides. RefSeq lists it as uncharacterized. NCBI's taxonomy places the organism in Eukaryota, Metazoa, Arthropoda, Collembola, Entomobryomorpha, Isotomidae. The transcript has 2 exons. The record is from RefSeq and is a predicted model, not a curated record.
UUAAAAGACUGUGCCCUUCACAAUUAGCAAUACCCAAUUUUGAGCUUAAAUUUACACGUUUGCUAAAUUUACAGAUAAAAUUUUAAUGUACAUAAAUAAUCUUUAUUUUCCAAAUAAGCUGCACAUUUGUCGUAAAAAAAAUGUUUUAUUUUAUUGCUGAAACAUUAACUUCUGCACAUUUAAUCUUGCUCCAGACGAGGAAGUUGUACUUCUGUAUUUGAUGAGCACAUCAAUAAAAUCAUCAUUUCGGAAUAACAAUGGAUUUCACAGGAUUUAAAAACUCGGGGAGUUGUACCACUUUGUAUCAUUCCGGUUUUGCCAGCUUCCUUUACCUUGUAAUAAAAUUUCCGGAUUUUUUACUGAAACUUUUCAACAAAUAAGACCAUGGCUACGUUUGUCCUGUUGAUUGCGUUCCUCGUCCUGGGUCUGGCGACGCUGAUGAAGGCGGCCCCAACUAGCUGGCAGUGCGCCAUGCUCUGCGCCUUGUACAAUGCUUGCAUGGACGUGGGUAGUCCAAAUUGUGGACGUCCGCCAGUCGGAUGUGAUUGCGAAGAUUGGAAAAAUUUAGGGAAUACAUGCAAUAAUUAAUUGAGUCAUUCUUUUGUAAGAAUUUGGCAAGAAAUUUUUUUUUUUUUUCAUUUUUAAAGCUUAAAAAUUCGAAAAUGGUAUAUAAAAAUUAAAUAAAUAACAUUUGUUUGAAUUA